Molecule: ribosomal RNA, 253 nt
Filed under: uncultured bacterium
Lineage: Bacteria
Description: partial 16S ribosomal RNA
Rfam family: Bacterial small subunit ribosomal RNA
Source: RNAcentral
CACGUAGGGGACGAGCGUUGUCCGGAUUCAUUGGGCGUAAAGCGCGCGUAGGCGGACUAUUAAGUCAGGGGUGAAAUCCCGGGGCUCAACCCCGGAACUGCCUUUGAUACUGGUAGUCUCGAGUCCGGAAGAGGUGAGUGGAAUUCCGAGUGUAGAGGUGAAAUUCGUAGAUAUUCGGAGGAACACCAGUGGCGAAGGCGGCCCACUGGUCCGGUACUGACGCUGAGGUGCGAAAGCGUGGGGAGCAAACAGG